UAGUUUAAAUUUUAUUUUUAAAUUUUUUAUUUAUUUAGUGAUAAUAUUUAGGAAAGUUCUAGCUAAAUUUUAGCACUAGAAGGGUGUAUAAAUACCUAGUGGCUACAACCAAUUAAACACACACUUGGCUUUUGGAAUUAAUCAAAUUCCUUCAUUCUGCCAUUUUCAAUUCUUUUUCUUUUGUUUUCAACUUUUUGGUUUAAUUACCUUCCAAGGCCCUUCCCUUUUUCCAUCUUCCACAAUUCCAUUUAAACCAUUUAUUUUCAAACAUGAUUCUUU
RNAcentral lists this long non-coding RNA (279 nucleotides) under Gossypium barbadense (sea-island cotton). RNAcentral describes it as "long non-coding RNA (GBAR_LNC017833)". The record is from RNAcentral. Lineage: Eukaryota; Viridiplantae; Streptophyta; Magnoliopsida; Malvales; Malvaceae.